This 517-nucleotide ribosomal RNA is filed under the name uncultured bacterium. Its description in RNAcentral is "partial 16S ribosomal RNA". It matches the Rfam family "Bacterial small subunit ribosomal RNA", at positions 30 to 507 of the family's 1533-position model. The record is from RNAcentral.
CGAACGCUGGCGGCGUGCCUAAUACAUGCAAGUCGAGCGAGUCUGCCUUGAAGAUCGGAGUGCUUGCACUCUGUGAAACAAGAUACAGGCUAGCGGCGGACGGGUGAGUAACACGUGGGUAACCUGCCCAAGAGAUCGGGAUAACACCUGGAAACAGAUGCUAAUACCGGAUAACAACAGAUGAUGCCUAUCAACUGUUUAAAAGAUGGUUCUGCUAUCACUCUUGGAUGGACCUGCGGUGCAUUAGCUAGUUGGUAGGGUAACGGCCUACCAAGGCGAUGAUGCAUAGCCGAGUUGAGAGACUGAUCGGCCACAUUGGGACUGAGACACGGCCCAAACUCCUACGGGAGGCAGCAGUAGGGAAUCUUCCACAAUGGACGCAAGUCUGAUGGAGCAACGCCGCGUGAGUGAAGAAGGGUUUCGGCUCGUAAAGCUCUGUUGUUGGUGAAGAAGGACAGGGGUAGUAACUGACCUUUGUUUGACGGUAAUCAAUUAGAAAGUCACGGCUAACUAAGUG